GAUGAACGCUGGCGGCGUGCCUCAAACAUGCAAGUCGAGCGAGGCUAUGAAUUACCGCAAGGUAAGGCAUAGCCUAGCGGCGAACGGGUGAGUAACACGUGGGUAACCUACCUGGAAGACAGGGAUAACGAUUCGAAAGGGUCGCUAAUACCUGAUAAUAUCCAUCUGCCGGAUGGCGGAGGGAAGAAAGGGGAAACCCGCUUUCAGAUGGGCCCACGUCCCAUCAGCUAGUUGGUAAGGUAAAGGCUUACCAAGGCGACGACGGGUAGCCGGUCUGAGAGGAUGUACAGCCACACUGGGACUGAGAUACGGCCCAGACUCCUACGGGAGGCAGCAGUUGGGAAUCUUAGGCAAUGGACGAAAGUCUGACCUAGCGACGCCGCGUGAGGGAAGAAGGCCUUCGGGUUGUAAACCUCUGUCAUGGGGGAAGAAGGAAGUGACGGUACCCCAAGAGGAAGCCCCUGCUAACUACGUG
Molecule: ribosomal RNA, 475 nt
Filed under: uncultured bacterium
Lineage: Bacteria
Description: bacterial SSU rRNA
Rfam family: Bacterial small subunit ribosomal RNA
Source: RNAcentral